This 478-nucleotide ribosomal RNA is filed under the name uncultured bacterium. Its description in RNAcentral is "partial 16S ribosomal RNA". It matches the Rfam family "Bacterial small subunit ribosomal RNA", at positions 28 to 523 of the family's 1533-position model. The record is from RNAcentral.
GACGAACGCUGGCGGCGUGCUUAACACAUGCAAGUCGAACGGUAAGGCCCUUCGGGGUACACGAGUGGCGAACGGGUGAGUAACACGUGGGUGAUCUGCCCUGCACUUCGGGAUAAGCCUGGGAAACUGGGUCUAAUACCGGAUAGGACUCCUGGCUUCAUGGUUGGGGGUGGAAAGCUUUUGCAGUGUGGGAUGGGCCCGCGGCCUAUCAGCUUGUUGGUGGGGUGAUGGCCUACCAAGGCGACGACGGGUAGCCGGCCUGAGAGGGUGACCGGCCACACGGGGACUGAGAUACGGCCCAGACUCCUACGGGAGGCAGCAGUGGGGAAUAUUGCACAAUGGGCGCAAGCCUGAUGCAGCGGCGCCGCGUGAGGGAUGACGGCCUUCGGGUUGUAAACCUCUUUCAGCACCGACGAAGCGCAAGUGACGGUAGGUGCAGAAGAAGGACCGGCCAACUACGUGCCAGCAGCCGCAGUAA